RNAcentral lists this ribosomal RNA (818 nucleotides) under uncultured Acidobacteriaceae bacterium. RNAcentral describes it as "bacterial SSU rRNA". It matches the Rfam family "Bacterial small subunit ribosomal RNA", at positions 58 to 907 of the family's 1533-position model. The record is from RNAcentral. Lineage: Bacteria; Pseudomonadati; Acidobacteriota; Terriglobia; Terriglobales; Acidobacteriaceae.
CAAGUCGCACGAGAAAGUGGAGCAAUCCAUGAGUACAGUGGCGCACGGGUGAGUAACACGUGACUAACCUACCCUCGAGUGGGGAAUAACCUAGGGAAACCUGGGCUAAUACCGCAUAACACUUACGAGUCAAAGCAGCAAUGCGCUUGGGGAGGGGGUCGCGGCAGAUUAGCUAGUUGGUGGGGUAAUGGCCUACCAAGGCGAUGAUCUGUAUCCGGCCUGAGAGGGCGCACGGACACACUGGAACUGAAACACGGUCCAGACUCCUACGGGAGGCAGCAGUGGGGAAUUUUGCGCAAUGGGGGAAACCCUGACGCAGCAACGCCGCGUGGAGGAUGAAAUCCCUUGGGAUGUAAACUCCUUUCGAUCGGGACGAUUAUGACGGUACCGGAAGAAGAAGCCCCGGCUAACUUCGUGCCAGCAGCCGCGGUAAUACGAGGGGGGCAAGCGUUGUUCGGAAUUAUUGGGCGUAAAGGGUGCGUAGGCGGUUUGAUAAGUCAUCUGUGAAAUCUAUGGGCUCAACCCAUAGUCUGCAGGCGAAACUGUCGGGCUUGAGUAUGGGAGAGGUGAGUGGAAUUUCCGGUGUAGCGGUGAAAUGCGUAGAUAUCGGAGGGAACACCUGUGGCGAAAGCGGCUCACUGGACCAUUACUGACGCUGAUGCACGAAAGCUAGGGGAGCAAACAGGAUUAGAUACCCUGGUAGUCCUAGCCCUAAACGAUGAUUGCUUGAUGUGGAGGGUACCCAAUCCUUCCGUGUCGAAGCUAACGCGAUAAGCAAUCCGCCUGGGGAGUACGGUCGCAAGGCUGAAACUCAAAGG